CAAUAGCGUAUAUUAAAGUUGUUGCAGUUAGAACGCUCGUAGUCGGAUUUCGGGGCGGGGCGACCGGUCUGCCGAUGGGUAUGCACUGGUCGGCGCGUCCUUCCUUCCGGAGACCGUUCCUACUCUUAACUGAGCGGGGGCGGGAGACGGAUCGUUUACUUUGAAAAAAUCAGAGUGUUUCAAGCAGGCAGCUCGCUCUUGCAUGGAUUAGCAUGGGAUAAUGAAAUAGGACUUUGGUGCUAUUUUGUUGGUUUCGAACACCGAAGUAAUGAUUAAAAGGGACAGUCAGGGGCACUCGUAUUCCGCCGAGAGAGGUGAAAUUCUCAGACCAGCGGAAGACGAACCACUGCGAANGNAUUUGGNAGGGAUGUUUNCACUG
Molecule: ribosomal RNA, 379 nt
Filed under: uncultured eukaryote
Lineage: Eukaryota
Description: partial 18S ribosomal RNA
Rfam family: Eukaryotic small subunit ribosomal RNA
Source: RNAcentral